ACGAACGCUGGCGGCAGGCUUCACACAUGCCAGUCGCACGCACCUUUCGGGGUGAGUGGCAGACGGGUGAGUAACGCGUGGGAAUCUACCCUUCUCUACGGGAUAGCUCCGGGAAACUGGAAUUAAUACCGUAUACGUCCUGAGGGAGAAAGAUUUAUCGGGGAAGGAUGAGCCCGCGUUGGAUUAGCUAGUUGGUGGGGUAAAGGCCUACCAAGGCGACGAUCCAUAGCUGGUCUAAGAGGAUGAUCAGCCACAUUGGGACUGAGACACGGCCCAAACUCCUACGGGAGGCAGCAGUGGGGAAUAUUGGACAAUGGGCGCAAGCCUGAUCCAGCCAUGCCGCGUGAGUGAUGAAGGCCCUAGGGUUGUAAAGCUCUUUCAGGGGGGACGAUAAUGACGGUACCCACAGAAGAAGCCCCGGCUAACUUCGUG
This 432-nucleotide ribosomal RNA is filed under the name uncultured bacterium. Its description in RNAcentral is "partial 16S ribosomal RNA". It matches the Rfam family "Bacterial small subunit ribosomal RNA", at positions 29 to 507 of the family's 1533-position model. The record is from RNAcentral.